This 539-nucleotide ribosomal RNA is filed under the name uncultured Byssovorax sp. RNAcentral describes it as "bacterial SSU rRNA". It matches the Rfam family "Bacterial small subunit ribosomal RNA", at positions 1 to 526 of the family's 1533-position model. Lineage: Bacteria; Pseudomonadati; Myxococcota; Polyangiales; Polyangiaceae. The record is from RNAcentral.
UAGAGUUUGAUCCUGGCUCAGAACGAACGUUAGCGGCGCGCUUAACACAUGCAAGUCGCACGAGAAAGGGCUUCGGCCCCGGUACAGUGGCGCACGGGUGAGUAACACGUGGGUAAUCUUCCCUUUGGCGGGGGAUAACCUUCCGAAAGGAGGGCUAAUACCGCAUAAGACCACGACUCCGAAAGGAGACGAGGUUAAAGCUGGCCUCUAUUCAUAAGCUAGCACCAAAGGAUGAGCCCGCGGCCCAUCAGGUAGUUGGUAGGGUAACGGCCUACCAAGCCUAAGACGGGUAGCUGGUCUGAGAGGAUGAUCAGCCACACUGGAACUGAGACACGGUCCAGACUCCUACGGGAGGCAGCAGUGGGGAAGCUUGCGCAAUGGACGAAAGUCUGACGCAGCGACGCCGCGUGGGUGAUGAAGGCCUUCGGGUUGUAAAGCCCUGUGGGGAGGGACGAAUAAGUAGAAGCUAACACCUUCUAUGAUGACGGUACCUCCUUAGCAAGCACCGGCUAACUCUGUGCCAGCCGCCGCGGUAAUUC